AGCAGCCGCGGUAAUUCCAGCUCCAAUAGCGUAUAUUAAAGUUGUUGCGGUUAAAAAGCUCGUAGUUGAAUUUCGGGAUCAAUAUGUCUGUCGUGCCUUUGGUACGUACGGGUAUAAUUGGUUUCUACCUUCUGAUGAACCUUGAUGCCAUUAAUUUGGUGUCUUGGGGACUCAGGACUGUUACCUUGAAAAAAUUAGAGUGUUUAAAGCAGGCAUACGCUUGAAUACAUUAGCAUGGAAUAAUGAAAUAGGACGUUCGAUUCUAUUUUGUUGGUUUCUAGGAUCGACGUAAUGAUUAAUAGGGAUAGUUGGGGGCAUUAGUAUUCAAUUGUCAGAGGUGAAAUUCUUGGAUUUAUUGAAGACUAACUACUGCGAAAGCAUUUGCCAAGGAUGUUUUCAUUAAUCAAGAACGAAAGUUAGGGGAUCGAAGACGAUCAGAUACCGUCGUAG
RNAcentral lists this ribosomal RNA (450 nucleotides) under uncultured Glomeromycotina. RNAcentral describes it as "SSU rRNA". It matches the Rfam family "Eukaryotic small subunit ribosomal RNA", at positions 569 to 1023 of the family's 1831-position model. Lineage: Eukaryota; Fungi; Glomeromycota. The record is from RNAcentral.